GCCUGUACAUGUUCUAUCUGUACUUGUUCUGCUUGUACUUGUUCUGCCUGUAUACCAUGUUCUUCACCAGGGUCAAGGGUUGCCAACUUUUUAUGUUUUAGCUUCACUGAGUGACUUUAGGAGCUUGUGCUGCUAGCUACUCCCAUUGGAGAGCGGUUGGAAACAGGUAUUUGGUGGGACGACAGUCUUCUUUGCUCCCUACUUGUGGCAACACCGCCUCCCCCGCCUGUGAUGGCACGUCACAGGGAAGGGUGCAGUCACGUCAAGGGGCCACGUGGGGUUAAACUCUAGCACCCUCAUUCCGCCUGGCAAUUAGGCCAGCCGGCAGUUGGCAGCUCUGCGGAUGGCUUUAAUCACUCGUAGGAGGUAAUUUGCUACGUUUUAUGUAAAUGCGGCCGGCGGGGGGGAAACAAGCGCCGAUGUGUUCCUUCGUCUGACUUUCUUCUUUUUGUGUCCGCGUCUCCUUUUUCCUUUUUCCUUUCUGUCACUUCCUCUGCCUCUUCCUCUCUCUCACUGUGACCAUCUCCGUUCUCCGGCCGCCACCUCUCCCUAUUCCCCUCCUCAACCUUCCAUCCCACUCGUCGACAUUUUUUAUUUUUCCCACAAUGCCUUCCCCUCUCCCUUCCACGAUACAAAUCUCCCUCUACCUCUUUCCAUCUCGAUCUCUCCAAGUCAGGUGACACCAGUCAGACCACUAAUUAGAAUUCUGUCACUAAGUAAAUGCAUUGUGACCGGUGGCUGACAGCUCUCCACGCCUGUGUGUGUGUGUGUGUUUGUGCGUGUGUGUGUGCAUGUGUGUGUGUGACAGUUUGGGCAGCUUGUUGGCGGUGACGAUAGCAGCCGCCUGGCAUUUUUAACGUGGCAAGGUGAUGCUCUCGCCACUGACCUGACAGUCAUUUAAAUUACACAGAGGAUGGCUGCUGUGUGUGUGUGUGUGUGUGUGUGAGUGUGAGAGGAGAAUGGGAGUGGGCUUGAGGAAGGACCAUUAGUAGCUGUGGGAUAAUUCACUGACUCGUGGGUUGACUGAUUGUGUAGCUGACGGACUCUCUGACUCAUUGUUGGAAAACCGACAGACAGACAGGCAAGGCUUGUUUACCAUGUCAGCUCACUAAUAUAAGUCAAAUCUCGCUCUCUCUCUCCCGUUAAGACACACACAUGCACUCACACACUGAGAGGAAGAGAUUAUAAUGUGAGGGAAGAAAAUCAAAUGGCAGGAAGGAGUUGGAAGGAGCUGGAGAACUAACAAAUGGCUCUCAUAGCCCGGCGUCAACCAUUGCGGCUUGAUAAAGAGCGGUGAGGGAGGAAAGGAAGUGGGCGAGGCAGACAUAUUUGUGAUACCUGUCAAAGGUUCUUCAGGCAAAUUGGCGUAAUCAGAUUUCUUCUAUUGCUUUUAAAAAAGUUCACCAACAAGCUAAAUCUCUUUAAGAGAUGUUGUCAAAAAUGACAUGAUCUUUAUAAACUCUGCCUACAAAAGUUCCAAAUACACUCUGACAGAGCAAUAUUAGUAAUUAUUAGGCCGGAUAUGUUAUGAAGCAUUAAAACAGUCCGAUUUUUUUAGCCAGAUAAAUAAUUUCGUAAGGAAAUUAAUUUGUUAAGAAAUUGUUACAUUUAAAAAAAAAUCUCAUUCAUUCCCAGCCACAUUUGCAAUAAAAUGGAUUCAGUUUUAGACCUUCACUAGUAGAAGCAAACCCGGAUGCAACACACAAACGGCCUGCUAUAAAUACAGCGGAAUCUUGGCCGGUUGAAAUGUUUUAUUUUGGAGCUUGUUUGGAUUAAUCAGAUUCUGCCCUCUAGAUGCUUAUGGCCUUUCAUAGAAAACCAGUGUGCUGAUGGCACGAUCCUCACUGGGACGGGCCUGCUGUCAACAGUGAUGCAGAGGUUCAGAUUUUCUGACAUUGUGGGGACGUUGUGAGUGAAAAAGGGUUUGAUUUGACCUCUGCGAGCCGGCGCCAUGCCAAUGACUAUGGUUAAGCGAAAAUGUAUGUCGAAGAAAGAGAGAUGAGGGAAGAAAAGAUUUAUCUCGAUGCUCCUGAUUACCAUCCUGAUGCUGUUUGCAGACCACGAAUGGGAUGUGCAUGUUUACAUGUUUGCGUCAUUUGGCUCGUUUUAUUAGAAACUGUCCUUUGAACUAUUUGUGUUCCUUUGCACAAGUGGGAAAUGUAGUUUCAUGUGUAUUUAAGUGUGUGACAUUUACACGUUCUUCCAAAAGAUCGCCGUCAGGAUGGACACUAGCAUACGGCAGUUUAGCCAGAGAGAGGAAAAAAAGGAAAGAUACAAUCAUGGGAAAGUUAAGAAUCAAUGUGGUUGGACUACUCCAUCGCUUCUUCAUUUUUCUGUGAUUGUAUCUUUUUUUUUUUUUUACUAUCGUGAAAGAAAAAGUGCAAAGGGGAGAGAGACAGAAAGAUGGAGAGAAGGGAAGGGAAGAGAAGAGGCCUUUACAGAAUAGCCUCUUGAAGGAAAACGCUCCGUGUCACCAGCAGCAGACAAGCCCCAAUGACAGCAGCAGGGUAAAACACCUCUAAUGCACCUCUGUGGCUUUUUACUGCUUCUCGUAUCGCAGCCGGGACACACACACACACUCACACACACAUGGCUGCUCACAUACAAACACACACACACAAACAAGCAAGCCAGCCAAGUAUGAGGACACUUGAGAUUUUUUCCUUUUUUUCCACCGAGGCACUCCGGUACAAACUCAAGCGCACACAAUGUGUAUAUUUAUUAUUCACGCCUUUGUUUUGCACACAGACAUCAGGCUUGCCCGAGGAGGGGAGGGAGGGACGGGAGAGAUAAAUAACAGUGAUAAGUCUUGUCUUGUCACAGGAGAGGAGAAGGGCUGAGUGACAUACGAUUGGUCUCCCGCUCGUGAAAUAUGCAUGGCUUUUUCAGCAGCCAGAGGAGGGGAGAGGAGUUAAUUUAGGCCUCUCGCUAUGCUCGGGGUAAUUAAAAGAGAUGAUCGAUAGUUUCCCCCCCGUGACUGAUAACAACCGCCACACGUUCACGCGCGCGCGCGCACACACACACACACACACACACACACACACACACACACACACACACACACACACACACACACGGGAGAGAAUGGACUGUGGCACCGGUCUCACUGCUGAGCGGGCCACCCAGGCUCAAUCAGAACAGCGAGACGUAGAGAUUGAGAUGAUGUGUGGGAUAAAAAGGGGGGUGUGAGUGUGGGUGUGGUUGUUUCUUAAUUGAGUGUGAUAAGAUCUAAACACAGUUACCGAGCGGCAGCCGACAGAAAAAGCAGAAAGCAGAAGGCUGAAGAUGAAAAAGGUGUUGUAGUGUUCGGUGUUGUGUUUGGUCCGAUUGUCUGAUGUUUGCUUUUGUUGUUUUCUUCUUGUUACGUCUUCAGUUGCUGCUGUCAGAGAUCUCGCUGUUGUCUUUAAAGCGGCUCCUCACACUCGUAUUUUAACAGUUAAACGAUGCAGUGCUGUUGUAAUAAUCUUCUUUGUCUAAAUAAAAAGUUAACCAAUCUUUUAUACAAAGAGAUUUUUUUGUCUUUGCCCAAGGUUGCCUCCCAGAUCUCCGUUAUCUUAUUCCUCCCCAGUUCAAUAGUGUACUAUAAUCAACAGUAAAUUGAUUUUUUUUUUAAAUGAUCAACCUUUUGGGUCAUUACUGAAAGUUCUGUUCCCCUCACAUUUAUCUGCACGCUGAGGUGCAACGAAUUUAUUUGCCUCACACUUUCUUAACCACUUUCUGGGCAAAUAUUUACAUGUGAAAUAGUAACAAGACUCUAGGGUUGGAAUUAUGAUUGAUUCAUUUUAACCAAAUGCUUAACUAGCCGGACAUUGUCUCUUCAGUCAGCAGCUGUGCUGCACUAUGCAAAUCAUGCAUUGUCACGGUGCAGUUCAUGGUGGAUGUCUUCCAAUGAUCAAUGAUGUAUUGAUAUUUCCUCGUAAUAAAUACAAUUAUAUAGUAAUUUUGAGAAACUUACGUCACGUUACCAUACUUGUGCGUGCAUUGAAUUGUCAGCAAACAGAUGUUUACAAGCCGAUGUGUGGACGUGUCUUUUUUGUUUCCUUGGACGGUGUUCUGAGGGACCUAAAUAAAACGUCGGCGGCUAAAUGCAGCGCGCCGCUGUGGAGAACUGAGGACGACGUGCACUCGCACACACAACUGUUUCCUGCUCUGUCUCUCUGCGCCCCCCCCCCCCCCCCCCCCCGCCCCGACCCAAAAACCUCCAUCCCAAAAAAAGGUGAUAAUCAG
Long non-coding RNA from Gasterosteus aculeatus aculeatus (three-spined stickleback), 4227 nucleotides. NCBI's taxonomy places the organism in Eukaryota, Metazoa, Chordata, Actinopteri, Perciformes, Gasterosteidae. The record is from Ensembl.